This 296-nucleotide ribosomal RNA is filed under the name Testudo hermanni hermanni. RNAcentral's name for it is "partial 12S ribosomal RNA". The record is from RNAcentral. Lineage: Eukaryota; Metazoa; Chordata; Testudines; Testudinidae.
CCCCUAGAGGAGCCUGUUCUAUAAUCGAUAAUCCACGAUCUACCUCACCAUCUCUUGCCAAUACCGCCUAUAUACCGCCGUCACCAGCCUACCCUAUGAAGGAUAUAAAAGUAAGCAAAAUAGCACAACAGCUAACAAGUCAGGUCAAGGUGUAGCUUACUGAGAUGGAAGAAAUAGGCUACAUUUUCUAAACUAGAAAUCAUUUCACGGAAAGAACUAUGAAACAAGUCCUAUAAGUGGGAUUUAGCAGUAAAUAGGGAUCAGAAUGCCCAAUUUAAGCCGGUCCUAAGGUACGC